UACGUAGGCAGCAAGCGUUGUUCGGAAUUACUGGGCGUAAAGGGUGUGUAGGCGGUUGUUUUAAGUUUGGUGUGAAAUCUCCCGGCUCAACUGGGAGGGUGCGCCGAAUACUGAGCGACUAGAGUGCGGGAGAGGAAAGUGGAAUUCCUGGUGUAGCGGUGAAAUGCGUAGAUAUCAGGAGGAACACCGGUGGUGUAGACGGCUUUCUGGACCGUAACUGACGCUGAGACACGAAAGCGUGGGGUAGCAAACAGG
This 255-nucleotide ribosomal RNA is filed under the name uncultured bacterium. RNAcentral describes it as "partial 16S ribosomal RNA". It matches the Rfam family "Bacterial small subunit ribosomal RNA", at positions 524 to 776 of the family's 1533-position model. The record is from RNAcentral.